ACUCAAAUGAAUAGACGGGGGCUCACACAAGCGGUGGAGGAUGUGGCUUAAUUCGAGGCUACGCGAAGAACCUUAUCCAGGCCUUGACAUGUACGGAUGCUGCCCGUGAAAGCGGGUUAGUUGCCUUCGGGUGAAACGUGCACAGGUGCUGCAUGGCUGUCGUCAGCUCGUGUCGUGAGAUGUCGGGUUAAGUCCCUUAACGAGCGAAACCCUUGUCUCUAGUUGCCAGCGAGUAAUGUCGGGGACUCUAGAGAGACUGCCGGUGUUAAACCGGAGGAAGGUGGGGAUGACGUCAAGUCCUCAUGGCCUUUAUGGUCUGGGCUGCACACGUCCUACAAUGGCAUAUACAAAGGGAUGCUACCUCGCGAGAGCAAGCAAAUCCCAAAAAGUAUGCCCCAGUUCGGAUUGCAGGCUGCAACUCGCCUGCAUGAAGCCGGAAUCGCUAGUAAUCGUGGAUCAGCAUGCCACGGUGAAUAUGUUCCUGAGCCUUGUACACACCGCCCGU
RNAcentral lists this ribosomal RNA (505 nucleotides) under uncultured bacterium. Its description in RNAcentral is "bacterial SSU rRNA". It matches the Rfam family "Bacterial small subunit ribosomal RNA", at positions 899 to 1397 of the family's 1533-position model. The record is from RNAcentral.